GACGAACGCUGGCGGCGUGCUUAACACAUGCAAGUCGAGCGAUGAAGCUCCUUCGGGAGUGGAUUAGCGGCGGACGGGUGAGUAACACGUGGGUAACCUGCCUCAUAGAGGGGAAUAGCCUUCCGAAAGGAAGAUUAAUACCGCAUAAGAUUGUAGUACCGCAUGGUAUAGCAAUUAAAGGAGCAAUCCGCUAUGAGAUGGACCCGCGCCGCAUUAGCUAGUUGGUGAGGUAACGGCUCACCAAGGCGACGAUGCGUAGCCGACCUGAGAGGGUGAUCGGCCACACUGGGACUGGGACACGGCCCAGACUCCUACGGGAGGCAGCAGUGGGGAAUAUUGCACAAUGGGGGAAACCCUGAUGCAGCAACGCCGCGUGAGUGAUGACGGUCUUCGGAUUGUAAAGCUCUGUCUUCAGGGACGAUAAUGACGGUACCUGAGGAGGAAGCCACGGCUAACUACGUGCCAGCAGCCGCGGUAA
RNAcentral lists this ribosomal RNA (478 nucleotides) under uncultured bacterium. Its description in RNAcentral is "partial 16S ribosomal RNA". It matches the Rfam family "Bacterial small subunit ribosomal RNA", at positions 28 to 523 of the family's 1533-position model. The record is from RNAcentral.